UGGGGAAUAUUGGACAAUGGGCGAAAGCCUGAUGGAGCAACGCCGCGUGUGUGAUGAAGGGUUUCGGCUCGUAAAACACUGUUGUAAGAGAAGAAUGACAUUGAGAGUAACUGUUCAAUGUGUGACGGUAUCUUACCAGAAAGGAACGGCUAAAUACGUGUCAG
This 164-nucleotide ribosomal RNA is filed under the name uncultured bacterium. RNAcentral describes it as "partial 16S rRNA". It matches the Rfam family "Bacterial small subunit ribosomal RNA", at positions 355 to 511 of the family's 1533-position model. The record is from RNAcentral.